GGGCCAUUAGCUCAGCUGGUAGAGCAGGACACUCUUAAUGUCAAGGUCGAAGGUUCGAGUCCUUCAUGGCCCACCA
This 76-nucleotide transfer RNA is filed under the name Candidatus Omnitrophota bacterium. Its description in RNAcentral is "tRNA-Lys". It matches the Rfam family "tRNA". From Rfam's summary of the family: Transfer RNA (tRNA) molecules are approximately 80 nucleotides in length. The record is from RNAcentral. Lineage: Bacteria; Pseudomonadati; Candidatus Omnitrophota.